This 491-nucleotide ribosomal RNA is filed under the name uncultured bacterium. RNAcentral describes it as "partial 16S ribosomal RNA". It matches the Rfam family "Bacterial small subunit ribosomal RNA", at positions 29 to 506 of the family's 1533-position model. The record is from RNAcentral.
AGUGAACGCUGGCGGUAGGCCUAACACAUGCAAGUCGAACGGCAGCACAGUAAGAGCUUGCUCUUACGGGUGGCGAGUGGCGGACGGGUGAGGAAUACAUCGGAAUCUACUUUUUCGUGGGGGAUAACGUAGGGAAACUUACGCUAAUACCGCAUACGACCUACGGGUGAAAGCAGGGGAUCUUCGGACCUUGCGCGAUUGAAUGAGCCGAUGUCGGAUUAGCUAGUUGGCGGGGUAAAGGCCCACCAAGGCGACGAUCCGUAGCUGGUCUGAGAGGAUGAUCAGCCACACUGGAACUGAGACACGGUCCAGACUCCUACGGGAGGCAGCAGUGGGGAAUAUUGGACAAUGGGCGCAAGCCUGAUCCAGCCAUACCGCGUGGGUGAAGAGGGCCUUCGGGUUGUAAAGCCCUUUUGUUGGGAAAGAAAAGCAGCAGGUUAAUACCCCGCUGUUCUGACGGUACCCAAAGAAUAAACACCGGCUAACUUCGU